CCUACGGGAGGCUGCAGUGGGGAAUAUUGGACAAUGGGCGAAAGCCUGAUCCAGCCAUGCCGCGUGUGUGAAGAAGGCCUUCGGGUUGUAAAGCACUUUCAGUGGGGAAGAAAGCCUUGGGGCUAAUACCCUCGAGGAAGGACAUCACCCACAGAAGAAGCACCGGCUAACUCCGUGCCAGCAGCCGCGGUAAUACGGAGGGUGCGAGCGUUAAUCGGAAUUACUGGGCGUAAAGCGCGCGUAGGCGGUCUGAUAAGCCGGUUGUGAAAGCCCCGGGCUCAACCUGGGAACGGCAUCCGGAACUGUCAGGCUAGAGUGCAGGAGAGGAAGGUAGAAUUCCCGGUGUAGCGGUGAAAUGCGUAGAGAUCGGGAGGAAUACCAGUGGCGAAGGCAGCCUUCUGGACUGACACUGACGCUGAGGUGCGAAAGCGUGGGUAGCAAACAGGAUUAGAUACCCUAGUAGUC
Molecule: ribosomal RNA, 465 nt
Filed under: Vreelandella stevensii
Lineage: Bacteria; Pseudomonadati; Pseudomonadota; Gammaproteobacteria; Oceanospirillales; Halomonadaceae
Description: partial 16S ribosomal RNA
Rfam family: Bacterial small subunit ribosomal RNA
Source: RNAcentral